CUGAACAGGCGGGCCUCG
Molecule: transfer RNA, 18 nt
Filed under: Anolis cybotes (large-headed anole)
Lineage: Eukaryota; Metazoa; Chordata; Lepidosauria; Squamata; Anolidae
Description: partial tRNA-Asx
Source: RNAcentral